Diabrotica virgifera virgifera (western corn rootworm) is the source of this 890-nucleotide long non-coding RNA. RefSeq lists it as uncharacterized. The transcript has 2 exons. The record is from RefSeq and is a predicted model, not a curated record. Lineage: Eukaryota; Metazoa; Arthropoda; Insecta; Coleoptera; Chrysomelidae.
GACAUAAGGUCUGUUCCUUUGUUUUUUAGUGUUACACUUUUGAGUGUAAGUGUACGAAAUUCUAUGGACAUUUGAGUGUAAAAUUACAGCGGAUGUGACAGCGGCUCAUGACAGCGGACAGUAUUAAACGAAAAUUAUCGGUGUGCCAAUCAAGCAAAGGGACAAGGAACUUCCGAAUAUGGCCUAACUGGGGGCACAUAACAUAACAUAACCUAAUCCUAAUAUUUACAUUUGUAAAGAAUAUCCUGUUUGUUUUUAUUGUCGAUUGUGCAGCGAAAUUGUGUGCAGCAAAUCAAAUAUAAAGUAGUUUAUCGCCUACAGAACUGAAUUAGUCCAUAGCAGUUAUCAGUUUUUCUUUCUUGGGAAGCUUAUACAUGUAACUUGUAUUGUUGUAAAUUGUGGGAGUAGGGCAGACAGGGAAAAGUCUUAUUUUGUACUGUUCCCAAGGCUCCCCAUGCAAUACAUUUAAAUGAAUUAUCCAAACAAAGCUGGGGACAAUGGAUAAAAGCCACAAGAAGAACAGAUAUAAGGGAACUAAAAUUAAAAUAUGAAAAGUAAACAUUUUAUAAGUGGAACAACCACCAGAUAUUUAAAAGGUAUAAAAAGAAGAAACUGCUGGAAUUUCAAAACAAAUGUGUUUGACUAGUAAAGAUUUGGAUAAAUAACAGGAGUUACUUUGGGCUAUAGCUAAGUGCAGAUUUAUUUCCUUGUGGCUUCCUAUGUUAAUUCUUAUUAAUUAUACACUUAAAUAUGUUUUUAGUCUCAGGAAGAUUUUAUAUUUGAUUAUUUUUGAAUAAACAUUAUUAUUAUUAUUACCUUAAUUUCCAUUAAAUAAAUUAACUGUAAUCAAUAAAGUAAUCGUUUAAUUGUUAAUAAAUUAUCAAGUAUGA